UGCUGGAUCGGCGGGUGAGCGACGGGGCCUUGAGACGGCACCUCGACCGCAUUCGGUUCGCUCCCGGAUUCAGCUAC
Molecule: transfer RNA, 77 nt
Filed under: Planotetraspora silvatica
Lineage: Bacteria; Bacillati; Actinomycetota; Actinomycetes; Streptosporangiales; Streptosporangiaceae
Description: tRNA-Leu
Source: RNAcentral